Durio zibethinus is the source of this 3341-nucleotide non-coding RNA. Lineage: Eukaryota; Viridiplantae; Streptophyta; Magnoliopsida; Malvales; Malvaceae. The record is from RefSeq and is a predicted model, not a curated record.
UGCCCCAUACUCUAUCCUUUGACGUCUUCGAGUUCUUUUAAAAUGUAAAUUGAAACUUGAGACUAGCAUUCAAAGCCCAAACUUAGUCGAUUAUAACUCAAAUUAUAAUAUACAUUAUUUUUUAUACACUACAACAAAACCAAUAAUUAAAGGCAAAGAAUAAGCUACACAUAAAUAUUAAUUUUUAAAAUAAUGGAUUUAAGGCAUAAAUCAUAUUUGUCUUUAAAUAUAAUAUUAUUAUGCCUUUAAUUUUCAUCAUUUAGAGGCACAUAUAUUAUCUGUCUGCUUUGAAAUAAAAUCAGGUCAUCUGAGCUAAUUAUCGUUGCCUACUGGUAUGUUUGGGUCACGAAAUUUUGAGAGGAAAAAUAUGUGAAAUUCAUGGAUUUUAUUUUAUUUUAUUUUUUGUUGUUUUUGGUUAAGAGGGAAAAACUUAAGUUUACUGAUGAAAAAGGUUUAGAAAGAAUUUCAAGUUAAUGCGUCGUAAUUAUUAUUAAAUGUGAUGUUCCAUAUUACAUUUAUUUUGUUUAAAUUAAGUUAUAUUGUUGAUUGCAACUCAGAGUUAGGCUCCAACAAUUUUUUGAAUUGAAUUUUUUUUUAAGUUAAAGUAUCAAAUUUAGCAUUCAGUUAUAGUUUACGUUUUAUUUCUUAUAAUCAACUCUCUAACAUUAUAUGUCUUUUCUUUUGAUGUAAUGAUUAAGAGAUUUUAAAAAAGACUUAUGGACGUAGGUUCUAAUUCCGCUGUCUUUCUUUCCUUUAUACGGACGUUUGUUCUCCUACUAACAGAAAAAAAAAAAACUUCUCUAGCAUUAUAUGUCUCAUAUUUGAGUGAUUGACGAACAGAUGUGUUACAUGUAGGAAAAAAGAAACAGAAAAAUGGAAGAACCACCAUUUAAUGGUGAUUCUGGAGUUAGGUUCUCUAUAUUUGGUUAUUCAAUCGAGAAACAUUUUAGGGUAAUGGAUACAAUCUCUAGAUUUGUGAAGAACCCAAGAUUGAUGGUCUCGAUGAAACUGAUAUCCGGAGAUUCUCUUCUUCAAUCACUUUCUUAAGGGAAUGGAGGCAUUUUAAUUAUGAACCGAGGAUCAUUGGGUUUGCUAGCGAACUAGGAGACUCACCGGGUAAAGAUGUUUCUGGUGGCAUAAACUUGCCUCAGUUUUCAUCAGCAACUGUUCCCAAGCAGGAAGGACUACGAGUAAGUAAUGCAUCUCCAGAAUCCAUGUUAGAUUGGAUUUUGGUUUGAGCAAUUUCAGUUUCCAAUGUUAUUGGGUUUAGGUGGUAAAAGGAUGGUGUACUGUGGGUUUGGAAAAGGUCUUAGUUUUAUUCUUGACCAUAAAAGUUCUGCUAUCCUACAGGAUUCCUCCUUUGUUUAAAAAAUUUUAACUCUUAUGAACAACAUGUUAUGGAUGGUGUUUGCUCUUGUUGAUCUGUGAUGCAUAUACAUGUUAUAAGAUAAGAACUUGGUGUUAUUAUUGCUCCUCUUAUUUAAGAUCUGUGUAUGGGCACCCAAAUAUUUUUAUUUGUGAAGCCAACACCGCUGCAAAAUGGUAUGUUUUAUACAUUUAUUGAAUGACAUGAUUAAAGUACAAUCAUCUUGCAGCAAGGACUUCGUGAUGUAUGUUGGAGGGUCUGUUUGGGCAUUAGAUUAAUGGUGUCCUAGAGUUCAUGAGAAUCCUAACAGUCCUGUCAAAUGUGAGGUACUUCCCCACUUCUCCCCUCCCAAAUCCCUAACCCACUUCUGGGAACCUUUUAUUCUUUUUUUUUUUUUUCGUGUAUUCCACCUUCAAUUUAUCAUUAUAGCCCAAACCUCUAUCUACUUGGUUAUUUCAAAUGAAAGAGACAAAAGCCUAGAUUUGUUCUGAAACAGUGGUUUAAAAUAUUGCCUGCAUGCUUAAUAAGUAGGAUUUUUAAUAAUAAUUAUCACCAUCUUAAUGCUGCAAUCUUGCGAGGCUGUCCUUGUUUUGUCUUUUUCUUUUUUUGCCUUCUUUUUCCCAGUUCAUUGCUGUCGCUGCUCAUCCUCCUGAAUCUUAUUAUCACAAGAUGGGCACCCCACUUACUGGUAGAGGCAUCAUUCAAAUAUGGUGUAUGCUAAAUGUUGGGGUGAAUGAGGAAGAAGCUCCUCUGUUAAAGAAAAAGCCAAAACGGAGAUCUCAAAAUACAAAGGCCAUGGGGGAGAGCUCGUCAAAGAGGCCUAGAGGAAGACCUGGAAAGAAACCAAUAGUUGAAUCUCAACUAGAUCAGGUUAAGAGGCCAACAGCUAGACCUACAAACAAAUCAAUUGGUGAAUCUCCUAACAGCAAUUAGAAUGACGAGCCUUUCCAACCUCUUCCUGUUCAGUACCCAGAAGGUUCGUUUGAGCCAGUUGCAAUAGACAACGCUCCUGGAAAUACGCAAGAAAAUGUUUCAGAUAAGAAUCAUCAUAAAAAACAAAAAGGUGACAAAGAGGCAGCAUUUUCAUCUGAUGCAGCCCCUAAUACAUCUGUGGAAAGUAGAAAAUUGAAAAGUAAGGCACGAGCAAAAACUAUUAGUGAUGGUAAAUGCCUCCCAUUAUUGACUCAAAAUGAAGAAACAGAAUCUUCAUUGACAAUAAACCAACAAAUUUGUUACAACUCUGGGCAGGAUGCUACUGUGCCGAAUAAUCUUUUAGAUAGUAAUUCGUUCGAGUUCAGCCCCGGUUCUUCUAUUCCAGGUGACAUUGCACUGCCAAGAGCUGUCCUCUUUCUAGCUCACAAUGGAAAAGUUGCUUGGGAUGUAAAAUGGAAGCCUUAUGAUAUAAAUGAUUCUAAAUGCAACCAACGGAUGGGCUAUCUGGCUGUCUUACUGGGAAAUGGAUCUUUGGAAGUGUAAGACAUCUGCAUUAGUUGUCAAGACUUUGUAUUCAAACUUUUCUUCGUUAUUCUUUUCCUAUCAUCCUUUAGGACUUAGUCAUAAAAGAAUAUACAUCAUUAUCUUAUACAACAAUAUUAGAACACAAAAGCUCUUCAAGGGGUUGUUCAAUUUUCAUGCCUUACUUAGCGGUUAGGUUAACUUCCUAAUUCUAUGUCCAUUUUGUUAAACGGAAGCAUUGCAUCAAACAAUCCUGCUUGUGGAGCGUUUGCACUGCACUAGCAGCGGAUUGGAUAAUAAUCCAAAGAACAAUUAUGUUGAUAUUGGAUGUCAUUUUGAGGUUUCAACAAUCAGGAAAUAUUUGGAAUAUUUCUAAUAUUAACAGUCAUGUAAUGUAAAACGCUGAAGUAAAUGAUGGAAGUUAAGUAGAAUGUUAUGGAAAGAUUAGAAUUCGGUUCUGCAAUAUGGCAAAUAGAUUUGGAUGAAUAAGAUGUAUGUACAUGAGAGAGGGGUAGAAGGU